Molecule: ribosomal RNA, 2381 nt
Filed under: Colletotrichum gloeosporioides
Lineage: Eukaryota; Fungi; Ascomycota; Sordariomycetes; Glomerellales; Glomerellaceae
Description: eukaryotic LSU rRNA
Rfam family: Eukaryotic large subunit ribosomal RNA (bases 318-2381)
Source: RNAcentral
AAAACUUUUAACAACGGAUCUCUUGGUUCUGGCAUCGAUGAAGAACGCAGCGAAAUGCGAUAAGUAAUGUGAAUUGCAGAAUUCAGUGAAUCAUCGAAUCUUUGAACGCACAUUGCGCCCGCCAGCAUUCUGGCGGGCAUGCCUGUUCGAGCGUCAUUUCAACCCUCAAGCUCUGCUUGGUGUUGGGGCUCUACGGUUGACGUAGGCCCUUAAAGGUAGUGGCGGACCCUCUCGGAGCCUCCUUUGCGUAGUAACAUUUCGUCUCGCAUUGGGAUUCGGAGGGACUCUAGCCGUAAAACCCCCAAUUUUACUAAGGUUGACCUCGGAUCAGGUAGGAAUACCCGCUGAACUUAAGCAUAUCAAUAAGCGGAGGAAAAGAAACCAACAGGGAUUGCCCCAGUAACGGCGAGUGAAGCGGCAACAGCUCAAAUUUGAAAUCUGGCCCUAGGCCCGAGUUGUAAUUUGCAGAGGAUGCUUUUGGCGCGGUGCCUUCCGAGUUCCCUGGAACGGGACGCCAUAGAGGGUGAGAGCCCCGUACGGUUGGACACCAAGUCUUUGUAAAGCUCCUUCGACGAGUCGAGUAGUUUGGGAAUGCUGCUCAAAAUGGGAGGUAUAUUUCUUCUAAAGCUAAAUAUUGGCCAGAGACCGAUAGCGCACAAGUAGAGUGAUCGAAAGAUGAAAAGCACUUUGAAAAGAGGGUUAAACAGCACGUGAAAUUGUUAAAAGGGAAGCGCUUGUGACCAGACUUGCGUCCGGUGAAUCACCCAGCUCUCGCGGCUGGGGCAUUUUGCCGGCUCAGGCCAGCAUCAGCUUGCCGUCGGGGACAAAAGCUUCGGGAACGUAGCUCUCUUCGGGGAGUGUUAUAGCCCGUUGCAUAAUACCCUUCGGUGGGCUGAGGUACGCGCUCCGCAAGGAUGCUGGCGUAAUGGUCAUCAGCGACCCGUCUUGAAACACGGACCAAGGAGUCAACCUUAUGUGCGAGUGUUUGGGUGUUAAACCCCUACGCGUAAUGAAAGUGAACGCAGGUGAGAGCUUCGGCGCAUCAUCGACCGAUCCUGAUGUUCUCGGAUGGAUUUGAGUAAGAGCAUAUAGGGUUGGACCCGAAAGAAGGUGAACUAUGCGUGUAUAGGGUGAAGCCAGAGGAAACUCUGGUGGAGGCUCGCAGCGGUUCUGACGUGCAAAUCGAUCGUCAAAUAUGCGCAUGGGGGCGAAAGACUAAUCGAACCUUCUAGUAGCUGGUUUCCGCCGAAGUUUCCCUCAGGAUAGCAGUGUUGAACUCAGUUUUAUGAGGUAAAGCGAAUGAUUAGGGACUCGGGGGCGCUAUAUUGCCUUCAUCCAUUCUCAAACUUUAAAUAUGUAAGAAGCCCUUGUUACUUAAUUGAACGUGGGCAUUCGAAUGUAUCAACACUAGUGGGCCAUUUUUGGUAAGCAGAACUGGCGAUGCGGGAUGAACCGAACGCGAGGUUAAGGUGCCAGAGUAGACGCUCAUCAGACACCACAAAAGGUGUUAGUACAUCUUGACAGCAGGACGGUGGCCAUGGAAGUCGGAAUCCGCUAAGGACUGUGUAACAACUCACCUGCCGAAUGUACUAGCCCUGAAAAUGGAUGGCGCUCAAGCGUCUCACCCAUACCUCGCCCUCAGUGUAGAAACGAUGCGCUGAGGAGUAGGCGGACGUGGAGGUCAGUGACGAAGCCUAGGGCGUGAGCCCGGGUAGAACGGCCUCUAGUGCAGAUCUUGGUGGUAGUAGCAAAUACUUCAAUGAGAACUUGAAGGACCGAAGUGGGGAAAGGUUCCAUGUGAACAGCGGUUGGACAUGGGUUAGUCGAUCCUAAGCCAUAGGGAAGUUCCGUUUCAAAGGGGCACUUGUGCCCCGUAUGGCGAAAGGGAAGCCGGUCAAUAUUCCGGCACCUGGAUGUGGGUUUUGCGCGGUAACGCAACUGAACGCGGAGACGACGGCGGGGGCCCCGGGCAGAGUUCUCUUUUCUUCUUAACGGUCUAUCACCCUGAAAUCGGUUUGUCCGGAGCUAGGGUUUAACGGCCGGAAGAGCCCAGCACUUCUGUUGGGUCCGGUGCGCUCUCGACGUCCCUUGAAAAUCCGCGGGAAGGAAUAAUUCUCACGCCAGGUCGUACUCAUAACCGCAGCAGGUCUCCAAGGUGAACAGCCUCUGGUUGAUAGAACAAUGUAGAUAAGGGAAGUCGGCAAAACAGAUCCGUAACUUCGGGAUAAGGAUUGGCUCUAAGGGUUGGGUACGUUGGGCUUUAGGCGGACGGCUCGGGAGCAGGUCGCCACUAGCCGGGCAACCGGCCGGAGGCUUCCAGCAUCUGGGUUCUGACGCCUUUAGCAGGCUUCGGCCGUCCGGCGUACGGUUAACAACCAACU